RNAcentral lists this ribosomal RNA (253 nucleotides) under uncultured bacterium. RNAcentral describes it as "partial 16S ribosomal RNA". It matches the Rfam family "Bacterial small subunit ribosomal RNA", at positions 524 to 776 of the family's 1533-position model. The record is from RNAcentral.
UACGGAGGGUGCAAGCGUUAUCCGGAUUCACUGGGUUUAAAGGGUGCGUAGGUGGGUUGGUAAGUCAGUGGUGAAAUCCCCGAGCUUAACUUGGGAACUGCCAUUGAUACUAUCAGUCUUGAAUACCGUGGAGGCUAGCGGAAUAUGUCAUGUAGCGGUGAAAUGCUUAGAUAUGACAUAGAACACCAAUUGCGAAGGCAGCUGGCUACACGAAUAUUGACACUGAUGCACGAAAGCGUGGGGAUCAAACAGG